UACGUAGGGGGCAAGCGUUGUCCGGAUUUAUUGGGCGUAAAGAGCUCGUAGGUGGUUCGGUAAGUCGGAUGUGAAAUCUCCAGGCUCAACCUGGAGGGGUCAUUCGAUACUGCCGUGACUAGAGUUCGGUAGGGGAGUGUGGAAUUCCAGGUGUAGCGGUGAAAUGCGUAGAUAUCUGGAGGAACACCGGUGGCGAAGGCGGCAUCCUGGACCAACACUGACGCUGAGGAGCGAAAGCCAGGGGAGCAAACGGG
RNAcentral lists this ribosomal RNA (254 nucleotides) under uncultured bacterium. Its description in RNAcentral is "partial 16S ribosomal RNA". It matches the Rfam family "Bacterial small subunit ribosomal RNA", at positions 524 to 776 of the family's 1533-position model. The record is from RNAcentral.